GCUAUGUACAUAACAGCAAUUUAGUUAAAUUAAGGAUGGCCUGUAAUGUUUUGCAAGUCAACUCCAGUCCAUAUAUUUGGCAUGAACCAUUCUUUGGUUCUUCGUUUGUCAUUUACUGUGGUUAUGGGGACCAUGGUACUCUUCAAAAGUUUCAAAAUGUAUUUAGCAGUUGCCAAUAUCAUACACGGAAUUACUCAUAAUGUACUUUAUGUUUAGGAGAUGCAACUAGAAGAGCCCAGGAGACCCGCAUCCACAUCAGAUAUAAAUAGGCCAUCGUCAAGAUCAUCUAGGAGAGGCCCUGGGCAGUUACAACUCUAAUGGUUAAAGCUGUCAGCAUUUUAGUCAAGCCAGAUAUAUACUGAUAUCAGCAAAUGUGGCAGUUGUGGGUGAGAUGUGUUAUAAUUUGUAAAAUUGUAUAUCGUUGUAGUCUCUUUUAUUAAACUGAUGGAGGUUGGGAUGGUGAAGAUUGGCUUUGGAUGACGAGAAAGCUUGGGUCUACCCAACCUAUUCUUUUUUCUUUUGUAAACGGGAUAAUGCCCAUGUGGUUGUGUUAUUUUUUUAUUGGAAACCAUAUGGGCUAGAGGGAGAUAUUAAAUUUAGAAAAUCCAGUUUGUUUUUUUUUUCUUUUCUUUAUUUUCCCCUUCAGCUAUUAAGCAGCUUCAUAAAAUAAGCAAAUCAGCUAAUUCAUGUACACAUUAGUAUUUUGGGGGUGAGUGAUGCCUGUAUUAUUUAUUGCUUAAUGAUGGGUCGGCUUUUGUACUCUCUCUCUCUCUCUCUCUCUCUCUCUCUCUCUCUCUCUCUCUCUCCAU
This 809-nucleotide long non-coding RNA is filed under the name Carica papaya (papaya). Its description in RNAcentral is "long non-coding RNA (CPAP_LNC012742)". The record is from RNAcentral. Lineage: Eukaryota; Viridiplantae; Streptophyta; Magnoliopsida; Brassicales; Caricaceae.